UACGAAGGGGGCUAGCGUUGUUCGGAAUUACUGGGCGUAAAGCGCACGUAGGCGGGCGAUUAAGUCAGGGGUGAAAUCCCGGAGCUCAACUCCGGAACUGCCUUUGAUACUGGUCGUCUAGAGAUCGGAAGAGGUGAGUGGAAUUCCCAGUGUAGAGGUGAAAUUCGUAGAUAUUGGGAAGAACACCAGUGGCGAAGGCGGCUCACUGGUCCGAUACUGACGCUGAGGUGCGAAAGCGUGGGGAGCAAGCAGG
This 253-nucleotide ribosomal RNA is filed under the name uncultured bacterium. Its description in RNAcentral is "partial 16S ribosomal RNA". It matches the Rfam family "Bacterial small subunit ribosomal RNA", at positions 524 to 776 of the family's 1533-position model. The record is from RNAcentral.